RNAcentral lists this ribosomal RNA (497 nucleotides) under uncultured bacterium. RNAcentral's name for it is "partial 16S ribosomal RNA". It matches the Rfam family "Bacterial small subunit ribosomal RNA", at positions 28 to 507 of the family's 1533-position model. The record is from RNAcentral.
GAUGAACGCUGGCGGCGUGCCUAAUACAUGCAAGUCGAGCGAACAGACGAGGAGCUUGCUCCUCUGACGUUAGCGGCGGACGGGUGAGUAACACGUGGAUAACCUACCUAUAAGACUGGGAUAACUUCGGGAAACCGGAGCUAAUACCGGAUAAUAUAUUGAACCGCAUGGUUCAAUAGUGAAAGACGGUUUUGCUGUCACUUAUAGAUGGAUCCGCGCCGCAUUAGCUAGUUGGUAAGGUAACGGCUUACCAAGGCAACGAUGCGUAGCCGACCUGAGAGGGUGAUCGGCCACACUGGAACCGAGACACGGUCCAGACUCCUACGGGAGGCAGCAGUAGGGAAUCUUCCGCAAAGGGCGAAAGCUUGACGGAGCAACGCCGCGUGAGUGAUGAAGGUCUUCGGAUCGUAAAACUCUGUUAUUAGGGAAGAACAAAUGUGUAAGUAACUAUGCACGUCUUGACGGUACCUAAUCAGAAAGCCACGGCUAACUACGUG